AGCUUGUCCUCAGAGAAUUAGGUAACUUGUUCAAAUGGUCAGAAGCAAUAGAUAUAACUCCUUGCUCUACUCUUUCCCCCCUUCUCACUACUGCACUUGCCUAGUCUUUU
Rhinopithecus bieti (black snub-nosed monkey) is the source of this 110-nucleotide unclassified non-coding RNA. It matches the Rfam family "Y RNA". Rfam says of the family: Y RNAs are components of the Ro ribonucleoprotein particle (Ro RNP), in association with Ro60 and La proteins. The Y RNAs and Ro60 and La proteins are well conserved, but the function of the Ro RNP is not known. In humans the RNA component can be one of four small RNAs -- hY1, hY3, hY4 and hY5. The record is from Ensembl. NCBI's taxonomy places the organism in Eukaryota, Metazoa, Chordata, Mammalia, Primates, Cercopithecidae.